Molecule: long non-coding RNA, 1186 nt
Organism: Sycon ciliatum
Lineage: Eukaryota; Metazoa; Porifera; Calcarea; Leucosolenida; Sycettidae
Exons: 3
Source: RefSeq, a predicted model, not a curated record
CAUGUCCACGGGACAGUUGAAUGAAAAACAACGAUGCUCCUAGUCUUCCUGUAGACUGUAGACUGUAGUGAGGGAUGUCAUUUUGUCAGACUCCACGAAACCUGACGACUAGUACCGGUAUGUAGCAUACAGCGUAAAUGUAGUGAUUGCGGAUGAAUCGCUAAAAUUGUUACUACGAUCAGUGGUCUGGAGUCGGUACUGCGCCAGUGGGUGUGCUGGUAGGUAUAGGCAGAACAGUAGAGGAGUUGGAUACUUUCAUUGCAGACCUUGCUAGUCGCGUGGUGGUACAUGGUGGUGGUGUCUGGAGCCAGUGGAGGUUGGAACCGUGUACCGCUCCUCCUGAACAGUGUGUAGGAGGCCGACUGCAAUUCUGCAAUGUCCGGAGGACAAAACCCAUUCCACCAUCCCAAGUUUGUCGCUCAGUUCGCCACAUGGAUUUACGAACUGGAUGAAGAGGGACUAAGAGUGUCCCUACAGGAAAAGGGAGUGUUCUCAGCAGGAAAUAUCAGAGUUCUGCGUCGACUUCAAGGCACAGGUAACCACAACGCCAAGGUCCUGGAGCUCCUAACGCCUGGAGGCGCUCCCGUGUUCCUGCUGCUGUGUAAGGCAAUACGCGGAAUGAGCAAGUAUUACGAGUCUCAAUGCGAUGCCAUGCUGCUGUUAGUCUAGGGUCUUUUGCCCCAUUGAUUCAAUACAUUAGCUGGGAACUCGACGACAUGUUGACGUCAUUUUACAUGCAUGUCAUUGCAGGUAGUUCACGUGUGACGCGUUAUAGGGUUUGAAAGUGAUGACGUCAAAACGGCCAGGAGUAGUAAGUUGACAUCAGAUUUCUAUUUUGGAUCCACUAAGGUGUGAAUUUGCUAUUGUCCCAGUAUGUGGGUGCAUAGCAACCCACUCAUGUCGUAUGGAGGCGUGACUUUUACUUCGCCACCAGUUGUCGCCCCGCCCCCAGUAGCCAAAUCAGUCAGUCUCACUGGCUACAUCACCUUGCUGUGAGUAAGACCGCUUGAAAUGUGCUUGGACCCAUACAAAAACUGGAUCCAAGUGGAUCCAGUUUUUGAAUUUUUGAAAUUGUUGCUAUGCUGUGACGUAUCACUUUCAAGCCCUAUGGUACCUGGGCUAGGCCCAUAUGAUGGUAUUGAAUUGUACUUUUGUUUGCCCGUAAAAGAGGCAUCGAGUCUUUCUA